This 443-nucleotide ribosomal RNA is filed under the name Pseudomonas fluorescens. RNAcentral's name for it is "bacterial SSU rRNA". It matches the Rfam family "Bacterial small subunit ribosomal RNA", at positions 367 to 800 of the family's 1533-position model. The record is from RNAcentral. Lineage: Bacteria; Pseudomonadati; Pseudomonadota; Gammaproteobacteria; Pseudomonadales; Pseudomonadaceae.
GGCAGAUAUGGGCGAGCCUGAUCCAGCCAUGCCGCGUGUGUGAAGAAGGUCUUCGGAUUGUAAAGCACUUUAAGUUGGGAGGAAGGGCAUUAACCUAAUACGUUAGUGUUUUGACGUUACCGACAGAAUAAGCACCGGCUAACUCUGUGCCAGCAGCCGCGGUAAUACAGAGGGUGCAAGCGUUAAUCGGAAUUACUGGGCGUAAAGCGCGCGUAGGUGGUUUGUUAAGUUGGAUGUGAAAUCCCCGGGCUCAACCUGGGAACUGCAUUCAAAACUGACUGACUAGAGUAUGGUAGAGGGUGGUGGAAUUUCCUGUGUAGCGGUGAAAUGCGUAGAUAUAGGAAGGAACACCAGUGGCGAAGGCGACCACCUGGACUAAUACUGACACUGAGGUGCGAAAGCGUGGGGAGCAAACAGGAUUAGAUACCCCGGGUAAUCCAAAA